ACCUGACUAGCUCAGUUCGUAGAGCUUGUGACUCUUGAUCUCAGAGUUAUGAGUUCAAAUCCCAUGUUGGGUG
Molecule: transfer RNA, 73 nt
Filed under: Felis catus (domestic cat)
Lineage: Eukaryota; Metazoa; Chordata; Mammalia; Carnivora; Felidae
Also listed under: 4 other names
Rfam family: tRNA
About the family: Transfer RNA (tRNA) molecules are approximately 80 nucleotides in length. Their secondary structure includes four short double-helical elements and three loops (D, anti-codon, and T loops).
Source: Rfam by way of RNAcentral